RNAcentral lists this ribosomal RNA (1557 nucleotides) under Plasmodium sp. RNAcentral describes it as "SSU rRNA". It matches the Rfam family "Eukaryotic small subunit ribosomal RNA", at positions 162 to 1440 of the family's 1831-position model. Lineage: Eukaryota; Apicomplexa; Aconoidasida; Haemosporida; Plasmodiidae. The record is from RNAcentral.
AGCUAAUACUUGCUUUAGCACUCUUGAUUAAGUUCUUGAGUGUGUACUUGUUAAGCCUUUUAAGAAAAAAGUUAUUAACUUAAGGAAUUAUAACAAAGAAGUAACACGUAAUGGAUCCGUCCAUUUUUAGUGUGUACCAAUCGAGUUUCUGACCUAUCAGCUUUUGAUGUUAGGGUAUUGGCCUAACAUGGCUAUGACGGGUAACGGGGAAUUAGAGUUCGAUUCCGGAGAGGGAGCCUGAGAAAUAGCUACCACAUCUAAGGAAGGCAGCAGGCGCGUAAAUUACCCAAUUCUAAAGAAGAGAGGUAGUGACAAGAGAUAACAAUACAAGGCCAAUCUGGCUUUGUAAUUGGAAUGAUGGGAAUUUAAAAUCUUCCCAAAACUCAAUUGGAGGGCAAGUCUGGUGCCAGCAGCCGCGGUAAUUCCAGCUCCAAUAGCGUAUAUUAAAAUUGUUGCAGUUAAAACGCUCGUAGUUGAAUUUCAAAGAAUCGAUAUUUUAAGUAACGCUUUGUAGAUUAAUCCACAUAACUGAUACUAUGUAUCGACUUUGUGCGCAUUUUUCUACUUAUGUGUUCUUUUAAUUAAAAUGAUUCUUUUUAAGAUCUUUCUUUUUUGCUUCGGCAUUUUAGGAGAUCUUGUUACUUUGAGUAAAUUAGAGUGUUCAAAGCAAACAGAUUAUAGCAUCUUUAUGCGUUUGAAUACUACAGCAUGGAAUAACAAAAUUGAACAAGUCAGAAUUUUGUUCUUUUUUCUUAUUUUGGCUUAGUUACGAUUAAUAGGAGUAGCUUGGGGGCAUUUGUAUUCAGAUGUCAGAGGUGAAAUUCUUAGAUUUUCUGGAGACAAACAACUGCGAAAGCAUUUGCCUAAAAUACUUCCAUUAAUCAAGAACGAAAGUUAAGGGAGUGAAGACGAUCAGAUACCGUCGUAAUCUUAACCAUAAACUAUGCCGACUAGGCUUUGGAUGAAAGAUUUUAAAAUAAGAGUUUUUUCUCUGAGGAGUUAAAACUCUUAGAUUGCUUCCUUCAGUGCCUUAUGAGAAAUCAAAGUCUUUGGGUUCUGGGGCGAGUAUUCGCGCAAGCGAGAAAGUUAAAAGAAUUGACGGAAGGGCACCACCAGGCGUGGAGCUUGCGGCUUAAUUUGACUCAACACGGGAAAACUCACUAGUUUAAGACAAGAGUAGGAUUGACAGAUUGAGAGCUCUUUCUUGAUUUCUUGGAUGGUGAUGCAUGGCCGUUUUUAGUUCGUGAAUAUGAUUUGUCUGGUUAAUUCCGAUAACGAACGAGAUCUUAACCUGCUAAUUAGCGGCAAAUACGAUAUAUUCUUACGUGGAAUUGCAUACUUAUGGUUUGUCUCUAUUGAGCCGCAUAAUAAUGAAGGAUCGUGAUUGCUUUUCGUGUCAAUCUUUCUUAAUCGAAUCGUUGAUGUGUUUUGUAUAUCUCGUUCUUUCAUUACCUUGCAAUCACUCAUUUGCCUUAUCAUACUGUUUCUCUUUUGCGUAAGAAUGUAUUUGCUUGAUUGUAAAGCUUCUUAGAGGAACGAUGUGUGUCUAACACAAGG